Equus asinus (donkey) is the source of this 8471-nucleotide long non-coding RNA. Lineage: Eukaryota; Metazoa; Chordata; Mammalia; Perissodactyla; Equidae. The record is from Ensembl.
AUUAUUACGCCCAUUUUAAAGAUGAAGAAACUGAGGGUCCAAGAAGACAAAGGAUUAUACAAACUCAUACAUCUUUCUGCUGACAACUCAGUUUUUUGUACUCCAGAGAGAUUUCUAAAACAAUGAGUGAUGUCACUCAUAGGAACGCUUAGUCAUGCCCUCACUGGAAGCCCAAUGAACUUUCACUGAAAACCAACAUGGGUCUGGCAUGAGAUCUAGAGUUAGAUGAGGGGUUCCUGUCCCUACCUAGAGAAGAUUCUCAGUUGACACUUAAUAAAGAUGACCAGACCAGGCUCAAUUCAGCUAGAUAUCUUCUACGCCUCAUAUCACUUUUCGUAAACUGUGUGUGUAUGUGUGUGUGUGUUUGUGUGUGUGUUUGUGUGUGUGAAUUCUUUGUUCUGUUUCAAGUAUACAAAAUGCAAUGGUUCCUAACAAGAGCUACAGGAUCAUCCUUUAUUUCCACUUCUUUCGUGAUUCUUUCAUGAUUGCACUUAACAAAAUAAUUGAGAUUGCAGCUAACUGGCUUUAGAAGCACACACACACAGAACCUUAAUAUUACAUUUUUUAGCUCAAGAAAUAUGUAUUGAAUGUUUGUCCAACUAUGUCCCUGACGCUCAGUUAAAUGCUAGAAAUAUAGCAAAGACUAAGAUAGACACUGUUCUUACCUCACUGAGUUUAUCUCACGGUGGACAGAGGUAGCAGAAAACAUCUAUAGUGAUUAAAUAAUUUCUUCUCUAACAAAGGAUAGCAAGAAAAAGUACAGGUGCUACGAAUUGGUGUAACAGGGAAACUUAAUCUAGACUAGGGUGGGGGGAGAAAUCAGGGAAGGGCUUCUCAAGCAAAUGACAUCAAACUGGGAUCCUUCCACGUCUAAAUGUAUCUCUAGGUAGAUAGGAACAGUCAGGAAAACAGGCAGUGGACAUUGUGAUUAUGUGGGAGUAUUCUUUUUCUUCGAGAUAUAUGUAUCUAUAGAUAUGUAUAGAUAUCGAUAUCUACAGCUAUAUAUCUCCACAAAAGUUACUUUUUAAAGGCAUUUCCUAUGCAGAUAAAGUACAUACACAUUUGUUGAAAGUUAGACUUAAGCACAAUCAAAUCAAAUCUAUAGCUGGGUUAAACUUUGUUGAUUUUAUAUCUCUGACUCUGUAGCUUUGAUUCAAUAAGGAGCUGUUUAAUAUUCACAGAGGGACUUAGGGAACUCAGAUGUUUGAUUUUUCCGAGAAAUGGAUUGCAAAAUAUUCAUUACAAACUCAAAUACAGUGUCUGCUGGACCUCAACUGAAGUCAUUACAUGAGGCUAAUUUCCCUGUAACACCAGGCAGUUAAGCUCCUUCAUGGAGCAUCCUCUCAGGUCAGAGCACCUCUCCUGUAUGGGUGUGCAAGGAAGACUUGGGCAGGGGGAGCUCGCUGUCUAGUGGGAAAGAUAAGCCAAGCACACAAAAGCACAUUCUGAGUGCACAUGGGCUGCAUUCUCUUAUUCCUGUGAAUAACCCAGAACAUCAGGCAGGACAUUUUGACUGUGGUUGUUUAAUCUCUCCAGCAGCAAGUGCAUAUGACUCACCUGGCAGGAUAAGUUUAAAAUGUGAGGACUAUUCUCAUGCUCAGAGAUCCUAAUGCAGAAGAGCAGAACAGAAAUCUGAAUUCCUAAGUUAUUUCUCCAGUAAUGAAUUCCAGUGAUGACCCUUUGAGAAGCAUUGACCUAGAGGACCUGUAGAUGGUCUUCAGGGGGACUUGAAAUUUCUAAAAUUAUAUAUUGAGUUUUCAUGUAAAUUUGUUUAGACACAGUCCAUUCUGUUCAUCAGUGUCUCUAAAAUCUGUAUUGAAGAUGGCUUAAAAAUUGCCUCCUUGGCUGGGCCAGCCCCAUGAUGUAGUGCUUAAGUUUGGUGCACUCCACUUUGGCAGGCUGGGAUCAAGGGUUUGGAUCCCAGGCGUGGACCUGCACUGCUUGUCAGCCAUGCCCUGGUGGCGACCCACAUAUAAAAGUGGAGGAAGGUUGUCAUGGAUGCUAGCUCAGGGCUAGUCUUCCUCAGGAAAAAAAAAAUCACCUCCUUGGAGAGUGAAUAUUGCUGUGCACUUCCCUAUUGCCAGGUUUUCAUCUGGGCAGUUUGCAUACAUCAUUUUAUUCCAGUGAAAACCUGUGAACUAAGUAUUUUACAAAUGACGAAACUGAAACUUAGAGAAGUUAAAUACUCCCUCUUCAUCAUCAACACCCUCAUACCAUUUGCCCACUUAAAGUGCACAGUUCAAUGGUUUUUAGUCUAUUCAUAGAACUGUGCAGCCAUCACCAUAAUCUAAAUUUAGGACAUUUUCAUCACGUCCUCCAAAAAACCCAUAUCCAUUUCCAGUGAGACCCCAUUUCCCACUCCUAGCCUUAGGCAACCACCAAUCUGCUUUCUGUCUCACUAUUCUGGACAUUGUGUAUCAAUGGAAUCAUUCAAUAUGUUGCCUUUUGUGACUGGCUUUUUUCACUUAGCAUAGUAUUUUCAAAGUUCAUCCAUGUUGUACUAUGUAUCAGUACUUCAUUCCUUUUUAUGGGCAAAUAAUAUUUCACCGUAUGGGCAUAUCACAUUUUAUUUGUCAGGUGAUGGACAUUUGGGUAGUUUACACUUCCUGGAUAUUAUGAAUAAUGCUGCUAUGAACAUUUGUGUACUAGUUUUUGUGUGGACAUACGUUUUCAUUUCUCUUGGGUGUAUACCUAGGGGUAAGUAGAAUUACUGGAUCAUAUGGUAACUAUGUUUCACAUUUUGAUGAACUGUCACACUUUUCUGCAAAGUGGCUGCACCACUUUACAUUUCCAGCAGCAAUGAGUGUGGAUUCCAAUUUCUCCACAUUCUUCCUGACACCUGCUGCUGUCUGUCUUUUUGAUUAUAGUCAUCCUAAGCGGAUGUGAAGUGGUAUCUCACUGUGGUUUUGACUUGCAUCUCCCUAAUGGCUGAUGACGUUGAACACCAUUUUAUGUGUUUAUUGUCCAUUUGUACAUCUUCUUUGGAGAAAGGUCUAUUUGUACAUCUUUUUUGGAGAAACAUCUGUUCAAAUCCAUUGCCCAUUUUUUUUAAUUGGCUUGUCUUUUUAUUAUCGAAUUGUAAGAGUUCUUUACGUGUUCAGGAUACAAGUCACUUAGAUAUAAGAUUUGCAAUAUUUCUGCUAUUCUGUGGGUUGUCUUUUCAUUUUCUUAAUGAUUUCAUUUGCAGCACAAAAGCUUUUAAUUUAAUCCGUGUUAUCUAUUUUUUAUUCCCUUGUCACAUUUGCUUUUGGUAUUACAUCUAAGAGUCUAUUGUUUAACCCAAGGUCACAAAGAUUUAUUUCUAUGUUUUCUUCUAUGACUUCCAUAGUUUUGUAUCUUACAUUUAGGUCCAUAUUCUAUUUUGAGUUAAUUUUUGUAUAUAGUGUGAGAUAGGAGUUCGACUUCAUUUGUAUGUGGACAUCCAGUUGUCCCAGCACCACUGUUGAACAGACUGUUCUUCCCCCCAUUAAAUUGCCUUGGCUCUGUCAAAAACCAACUGGUGACAAAUAUAAGGGUUUAUGUAUGAACUCUUAAUUCUAUUCCAUUAAUCUAAAUAUCUAUCUUAAGUCAGUACUACACUGUCUUGAUUCCAGUAUGUUUUGAAGUAAGGAAAUAUGAGUCUUCUAGUUUUGUUCUUCUUUUUCAAGAUUGUUUUGGCUAUUUGGGGUCUUUUGUAUUUCUAUAUAAAUUUUAGAAUCAGCCUGUCAAUUUGGGGGACAAAAAGCCAUGUAACCGUAAAGCACAUUUUACGCUUUAUCUCCUUUUUCUUUCUUGAUAUUAGACUCAAAAUAUAUAUGUCAUUGGCAGACAUAUAUAUUAUUCAAGAUGCCAUAUUAUUGAAUAAAUGCUUCCAUAUUCAAUUUUCUCCAAGCUAUCAUCAAACAAAAACCUACCAAAAACAGUCAAAGAUGAAAAACUCAAAAUAUCUGUCAUAGUAUGGAUUCUCAAAGCUUUUGCAGCUUAAUUACUUACUAAGUGUUGUGCUCCAAAGCUUUUGUGCUAUUUUGCUGACUGAUUACUGCAUGGGAAUCUAAGACUUGAGAUUAAAAAGUCAAUUGGUUUAUUGUUAAAAUUCUAUUAAUUUGUUUUUAAAUGAUGAAAUAGGGAUUCCAGUCUGCUCUCAGGGAGCACUUUUUCACAAAUAAUAUAUUGUAGGUGAGAAAAGUAUUCUUACCAAUGAAAAAUCAGGUUGUAUGCAAUUAGGACUCUCUUUUUUCUUUUAAAUUAUAUUUUUUAGCUUUCGAAAGGUGCCUGGAGUCCUGUGAUUUUGAAUAACUACAAAACAGGGAAGUUAAGAAAGAAUUGCACAUGCAAUAUUUUUUCUAGUAAAGGAUGUCUUAUUUAUUAAAUUCGUUUAAGCGAUGCUAAUUGAACACACACGGUGAGGCCGACACUGUGUCCAUCUGUGGGAACACAGUGGGGAUGAAACAGACAGAGACUCUACUCAAUGAUCCUGACAGUCAAGUCAAGGAGAGACUUCCUUCCAAGCCUACCAAUUUAGUACUAUGACCGGUAAAUUCCUUCUAAAUCUGUCUGCAUUCCUAGCAGUGUGACCUUGGCCAACACAUGUAACCUUUCUGAGUCGUAAUUUCCUCGCAUGUGAAAUGCGUAUAGGGUUGUGAAGAUUAGAUGGUGUGAACCAAGCACCUAGUAUGAAAUUCCCUCUCCUCCCUCUUCCCUUACAGGACAGUUUCUCCUUCCCACGCAAAUGGAGAAUACUUAAGUAGAUACACCUGCUGAGGGUUCUCUGUGUCUUUUCACGACCUGUCAUGGAGCAGUAGAUAGCAUUGUUCUUGAUGGCUUCGUAUCCUUCCUUGCCAGGAAUUCUCAGAUACACAUUUCAGCAGAAUUCAGGUCUAAAUUUUAUCGCCAUUACUUCCUUUCUUGGUAAGACUUUUUUUCAUACGGAUAUUAGACAAGAGAUAACUAAGCCCUAUGACGCAAACAUUGAUAAACUAAUAGAAAACUCAUGCCUUGAACAUAAGCCCAACGUUCCUGGAAGUCUCUUUUGCAGAAGAUCAGGCUCUCUGGAAAGCUGGAAAUGGUAACACAAGAAAAGAAACAUCCCAGUUGUUUGUUCCAUCUUAAUGAGGAAUCGUUGAAGCUAGAAAACUCAGGCAUCCUCACCUUCUUUUUCUCUCUCACUUUCCUCAUCCAUGCUGGGCAAUGGAGCUUACUAACAUUUUUUAACCCCUUCCUUGCUCUUUGUCCCAUUAUCAAAUUGUUCAGACUCUACUAACCACUCUUCUUGACAAAACUCUCAGAACUGCUAGUCAGCCAGCCUCCAGUCUCACCCCAUUUCAACCCUUCUUCAAAGUGCUACCAGAUCAGUCUUUCUAAAGUAUAAGGCAGAUUGCUUUGCUCCUCUGCUUACAAAUCCUCAACACCCCCUCACUGCCUUUAGAAAAAGCCUUCAGGUUAAACUCAUUCCCCUCCGCCACCAGUACAGAGUAAUUACAAAACAGUAUGAUAAAUACUGAGGAGAGAAACCCUAAGGCUAUGAGAACAGGAGGGAAACAAUCUUACGCUACAGCUGAGGUGGUGGGCAACAUUUUGAGAGAGGUGUUGAUAUUGAGCAAUGUCUUUUCUGAAAUUAGAUUUAUAAAGUGUCCAAACCAUUGACUCUUUUACUGUUCUUUCUCCUGUAUAAGGAUGUUCACUCUGGUGGAUCACAACCUUGUUCAGCAUACGCCCCGUUACUCCCUGUGGAGUGUUAUGCAUGCACGAGUAGGUGUGACUUGUCCUGUGACUUGUGCUCCUCUUUGCAGAAGGGUUAUACUUUCCUGCCCAGUUUGAAUUGACGUCAGCCUUGGCCACAUAACUUCUUCCUCCACUGAAACAUCCUGACUCAGGUUUUUUUGUACAAAUAGCACAGGAGGACACCAGCCCCACGCAGCUGGCAGCCCAGGGGUCAUACCUUCUAUCCUCACAUCAGCAGACCGAGACCUCUGCUCUGGAGCUUGGGCACCUUUGGGAGGCUGAGCUGGAGCCAGAAGUGGGACUGGAGCUACAACUGCAGCCUGGGUCUUGAUUUGAGCCUUGGCCUUGGCCUUUGGCCGGCAGAGCCUGAGACCCUUGGUGACGUAGGCAGAGCACACUUCCCGAGCUUCAGGUGGCUAAUGUAGGCAAGUUGAUUGAACUUGUGACAGACACCCUUUGGAUCAUGAACUUCACCUUGUUGGGCUCUAACAGGGCCUUGACAGCCUCAGCAUGCACACUCAUGGCCUUGAAGUUGUUGGCCUGCAUCUUCUUCAGACCCUUCUUCUGAGGGUUCUGGUUUUCUUAAUGCAAAUAAUUUUUUAUCCCUUGAAAAUUAAUUCUAAAGUAUAAAUUGAAUAUGUGAACUUACUACUUGUGUGUUGGGUUUUAGAAUAAGUUUUGUAAUCAGUAGACUAGCCUCCCAGCAUUUGAAUGUAAAGUGUUUGCAGUGUUUAAGAGAUUCUGACAAAUAAGCCUGCAUAGAUUCCUAAUAAAUUGUGUAAUUGAUUUUAGAGUUUUGGACUUAAGUUGAAAGUUGUAAAAUAAUUUGCCCAAGUAUUUAAACUGUCUUGGUAAUUUGUUUAAGGUAUUUUGAAAUUAACUAUGUUUUUAAGUUAAUUCAUUAGGCAUAUGAUUGUUUCAGUACUGGGGAAAAACUUGAUAGUUGGGGUUGCAAAUUUUAAAGUUUUUGUAAGAGAACUGAACAUAAUACUUAUAAAUGCACUUAAAUAUUUAAAUAACUUAAUUUACUGUUUGUAAAUAGUUUAAUAUGUUUGAAUUGAGGUUAUCAAACAUUAAUCAAAGGCUCUCCCAGAGGUAGUGGUUCUUAUUUUACGUAACAUGCACUUGGUUGAUAAAUUUACAAGACUGACAAAAGAUGGAAAGGCUUACAGUAAACUAGGUUUCUGAAUUUUUACUUUAGUAAAUGGAAUAUUAAUUUACAACCCAAGUAGCUUUAAGCAGCUUAUUUAAACUUGAAAUUCUCCCAUGAAGACAGAAAUUGACAUUGAUAAUCAGGAGACCAGAGACUAAAUUUCCAAUUUAACAAGUAUAAGAAUGAUUCCAAGUCAGAAACCAUUACAAUUGGAAUCAAAGUUACAUCACACAUGACUGAAUUAAACUCUCCCAAGUUGGAUAAAUAGUUGAAAUGUAGGGCUAGCCAUGUUCAGAAGUUUUUCUUCUAUUUCUGCUUUAUUCUCAGUGCUGAAAAUGUGUUUCUGGCACUACAUGCUUCAUUCCAUUCGUUGGUUAGAAUCCCUUACCGUUUUUUGAGUAUAACUUGUAAUAAUCCUCCUGGCGAUACUCUAUCAAGUAACUCUCUAUCAACAGUAGCUUAGCUCUAUACAUAACCUCAGGUACUGGUCUGUAUGAUUACAAAGAAGAGAUGUAUAAUUUUAAUUGCCGAAGAACUUGCAAAAUUAUUUUUAUAACAAAAAAGUUGUAUUGAUUUGAGUCAUGGAUCACCUUAUUUCCUUUUUUAAUUGUCAAGAAACUAAUAAAACAUUUAGAGAGAAAUAUUCUCCUUCAUCAAGGUCUUUUCUAUAUUGUGUCCCUUUGAAGACCAAAGAAUGUGUUAAGUAAGCUUAAAUUAUCAGUAAUAUCUUUAAAUAUGCAUAUAAAAAAUAUAUGGUAAUGUGCUAAAAUGUUAACUCUGAGUAGAAUAUUCUGUGUAAUUUAGCUUUUUAUGCAUUUUGUAUUAUUGUUGAAAUUAUCUCAUAAAUGUAUAUUUUCAUAAUCUGAACAAAUUAACAUUUAAAAAAUUGAUGUAUACAAUGUUCUAAAUGUGAUAUGAGACAAACAUACUUACAUAAAAAUAUAUGACCAAAAGGAACCAACUAAAAGAGCUCCCAAUGGCCAAAGCUGGAAUGACUUGAGCAACAAAGUAAUGUAGUACUGGAUUCUAAUCCAAAAUAUAAAAUAAAUAUCCACAGGUCCAUACUGAUAUAAACAAAUGAUUGAAUAAAUUAAUAAAUAGUGGAGAAGAGAUCAGUCUUCUGUGCAGAAAAGUCCCAAAUUAUUGAUGUAGUCACUCCCCACUCCUUAAGUGUGAGCUGUGCGUGGUGGCUUGCUUCCGAAGAGUGGGGUGUGGUAUUGGGGGAUCAUGUUUGCAGUGGAGAAACUAGACAAUCACUGUCUCAGGUGGGUGAUCAAGGUCAACAUCAUGGUCAUUAAGGAUGUUGAUAGUAUGUAACCUUGAUGUGAUGUGAUAAAAAUGGCACUUUACCUAUAUGAUCUUCCUCCCUCAAAUCCAUAAUCCCAUCUAACAUCAGACAAUAUCAGACAAAUCCCAACUGAGAGGCAUCCUGCAAAAUACCUGACUAGUCUUCCUCAAAACUCUCAGGGUUAUUUAAAAAAUGAUAAUAAUAAUAAAAAUAAAGAAAAGAAAUUCUGAGAAACUGUCACAGCCCAGAGGAGCCUAAGGAGACAUGAGUAAAUGUAAUGUGGUGUCCUGGAUGGGAUCCUGGAACAGAAUAAAGACAUCAGGUAAAAAC